This 253-nucleotide ribosomal RNA is filed under the name uncultured bacterium. RNAcentral describes it as "partial 16S ribosomal RNA". It matches the Rfam family "Bacterial small subunit ribosomal RNA", at positions 524 to 776 of the family's 1533-position model. The record is from RNAcentral.
UACGUAGGGGGCAAGCGUUGUCCGGAUUUAUUGGGCGUAAAGAGCGUGUAGGCGGCCAGGUAGGUCGGUUGUGAAAACUGGAGGCUCAACCUUCAGAGGUCGACCGAAACCAUCUGGCUAGAGUCCGGGAAAGGAGAGUGGAAUUCCUGGUGUAGCGGUGAAAUGCGCAGAUAUCAGGAAGAACACCCGUGGCGAAAGCGGCUCUCUGGAACGGUACUGACGCUGAGACGCGAAAGCGUGGGGAGCGAACAGG